This is a non-coding RNA of Cajanus cajan (pigeon pea), 1002 nucleotides long. The record is from RefSeq and is a predicted model, not a curated record. Lineage: Eukaryota; Viridiplantae; Streptophyta; Magnoliopsida; Fabales; Fabaceae.
AUGGUGUGGAGCAUCAAAUAUCACUUGUUCCUAACACAAACUUCUUGAGGUGCUUCAGAUUGAAGCAUUGAAACCUUGCUGAGGUUUAGGUUGAUCUCAACACCAACAAGGUCUUUGUGUGCCUCAGGUUGGUUAUGCUUCAGAGUUUGGAGCUUGACGGCAACAACGACGACAGCGGUGAAGGCACCUUUAAGGGUUUGAAGAAGCUAGCAUCGUUCACGAAGAUGUUAACAUAAUCGAACACGAAUAAUGGCGGUGGGUUCUCUGUGCCAUGGUACUACACGUCGUUCUAAAGCAUAGAGCUUGAUGGUGAUAACAGCGAAGACACCUUAGAGGGUUCAAAGAAGUUGGUGUCAUUUGCAAAGUUGCUGACAUAGUCGGAUGCAAACAAUGGUGAUGGGUUCUCCGUAUCGCAGUAUUGCGCGAAGAUGAUAUUCUUGUGAUGGACUACUUGGACCCUAAACCUUUAGCCCCAAAUCCCUAACAAUUCUUCCUAGUGACUUGAUUUUGACAACGACAACAAACCUUGACUUCGACAACAAUUAUGAUGUUGACACUAACAACUUUGUAACACUCCUCGCCAUUGUUCUCGACUUAGAGCACUGCAUGAAGCUACUAGCAAAGGUGGGUGCGAAUCUGCACAACUAUGAUCGGAGUAACGGCUUCGCGACGUUACACAUGAGUAUAGGUACAUGUGGCAAAUUUGCUUUUAGAUCUUGGCUCAGAUUCGUUAGACAGCCUCGACUUGGAGCACUCCAUGAAGCUGCUAGCAAAGGCUGGUGCAAAUUUGCACCACCACAAACGGAGCGACAACCUCACAGUCAUGAUGACUAGUGCGAGGAAGAUGUUGAAUUACAAAAAAGAAAAGGAUAUUUUUAGUAAUUUUAAAUAAUUUAAAUAAAAACUAUUAUUGUUUACUUAUGCAGCGGUGGACAAUAUGUUAAACUUGUCCAAUGUAGUAAGCGCCUAUGAGUUAUAUAGUUUACUGGAUGUGAAUUUUAA